This is a long non-coding RNA of Salvia miltiorrhiza (redroot sage), 896 nucleotides long. RefSeq lists it as uncharacterized. NCBI's taxonomy places the organism in Eukaryota, Viridiplantae, Streptophyta, Magnoliopsida, Lamiales, Lamiaceae. The record is from RefSeq and is a predicted model, not a curated record. The transcript is spliced from 2 exons.
AGUUAUGAUUUCUCACACACGUUCUCUUCUUCUUCCACACGUUCUCUCAAUCGCAAAUUCUUAAAGUUAUGGUUAUAGAAUUAAUCAACAAUUUUCUCUCUCCCUCUUCUACACUUCCGCGCACGUCCUCUCACAAUAUCUCUGAAGCAACUAUGCAAAUUCUUUUUGUUACAGUUAUAAUAAGCUUCUCUCUCCAUUCCCACACGUUCUCACAAUCUCUGCAGCGAUAUUUCUCAUAAAUUGGUGCAAUUUCAACGGAUAUAGUACUGCAAUUCUCCCAAUCGAUAAAAACACGUUUUCAAGUAGAAUGAUCGGAGGAACAGAUCUGAGAUUAAUUUUUUUCUCAUCGUUCUCUAUAUCCUCUCUGCCCAGAAAAGUCUACUCUAUCUUCAUUGUUAAUGCUAGAAAGACUGAACAAUUUGAGAGUAGUUUAAUAAUUUUUGUGUUGGAUGUAGCAAAAUCUCCUCAUUCUCGCCUUCAGAAUCUUGCUACCGCAAUGGGUUGUGUCCGGACAAAAACGGUGAAGAAGUCCUCCCCGCGAUGAUUGAGGGACACUACUCGAAGAUGUUAUUGAACUUCCAGACCAACAAAAAGAAGGAGCUGAUAGCUCUAAUGUGUUUUGCUUAUCGGCAUCAGUUUCAAUGUGUUUUGCAAGUUGCAGAAGGAGCUGAUAGCUCUAAUGGUAUGUUUGAUGUUAGUUAUUACUUGAUUUGUAUGUAUGUGUGUAUGAGAGUGAAAGAGAGGUUAGCUUUUAUUGGAUCAUUCAUUACAAGUAGAUGUGUUAUCCCUAAUUUGGCAAGGUAAUUUGUAGAGGUGUUAUGUUUAGAUUGAUUUUAGAAGUUAGGGAAGAAAGCCACGUAUUAAAUUUUACCAUUUCAUUGUUUAUUGAUUAAUUA